RNAcentral lists this ribosomal RNA (468 nucleotides) under uncultured bacterium. RNAcentral describes it as "partial 16S ribosomal RNA". It matches the Rfam family "Bacterial small subunit ribosomal RNA", at positions 28 to 507 of the family's 1533-position model. The record is from RNAcentral.
GACGAACGCUGGCGGCGUGCUUAACACAUGCAAGUCGAACGGAAAGGCCCUGCUUUUGUGGGGUGCUCGAGUGGCGAACGGGUGAGUAACACGUGAGUAACCUGCCCUUGACUUUGGGAUAACUUCAGGAAACUGGGGCUAAUACCGGAUAGGAGCUCCUGCUGCAUGGUGGGGGUUGGAAAGUUUCGGCGGUUGGGGAUGGACUCGCGGCUUAUCAGCUUGUUGGUGGGGUAGUGGCUUACCAAGGCUUUGACGGGUAGCCGGCCUGAGAGGGUGACCGGCCACAUUGGGACUGAGAUACGGCCCAGACUCCUACGGGCGGCAGCAGUGGGGAAUAUUGCACAGUGGGCGGAAGCCUGAUGCAGCAACGCCGCGUGCGGGAUGACGGCCUUCGGGUUGUAAACCUCUUUCGCCUGUGACGAAGCGUGAGUGACGGUAAUGGGUAAAGAAGCACCGGCUAACUACGUG